This 648-nucleotide ribosomal RNA is filed under the name Acarospora moraviae. RNAcentral describes it as "SSU rRNA". It matches the Rfam family "Bacterial small subunit ribosomal RNA", at positions 374 to 1112 of the family's 1533-position model. The record is from RNAcentral. Lineage: Eukaryota; Fungi; Ascomycota; Lecanoromycetes; Acarosporales; Acarosporaceae.
AGCGAAAGCUAGUUGUAUUAUUAGUUAAUGCAAGAUCGACUACGUCGACUAAAGUUCUAGGUAGAAUAAUGAUGAUGACAAUUUUUUACCUAUAUGUCUUGACCAAGUCUCGUGCCAGCAGUCGCGGUAAUACGUGGAAGACUAGUGUUAUUCAUCUUUAUUAGGUUUAAAGGGUACCUAGACGGUAUUUCUAGCCCAAAAUAGGGUACGGAUUUACUAGAGUUUUAUGUGAGGAGGGGAGUACUCGUAGAGUAGAGAUGAAAUUUUGUUAUACUAUGAGGUAACUGGUGGCGGCGAAAGCAACCUUCUAUGUAUAAACUGACGUUGAGGGACGAAGGCUUGGGUAGCAAAUAGGAUUAGAUACCCUAGUAGUCCAAGCAGACAAUUCUGAAUGCCAUAGAUUAGAUUAUUUUUGGUCUAUAAAUGAAAGUGUAAGCAUUCCACCUUAGGAGUAAUGUGGCAACACAGGAACUGAAAUCAUUAGACCGUUUCUGAAACCAGUAGUGAAGUAUGUUAUUUAAAUUGAUGGUCCACAAAAACCUUACCACAACUUGAAUAUUUUUAAUUAAUACAAGCGUUGCACGGCUGUCUUCAGUUAAUGUCGUGAGAUUUUGGUUAACUCCAUUAAUUAACGUAAACCCUUACUUU